GCUGGUGUGGCGGAAUGGCAGACGCAGCAGACUCAAAAUCUGCCAUAGGCAACUAUGUGCGGGUUCAAGUCCCGCCACCAGCA
Molecule: transfer RNA, 83 nt
Filed under: Lachnospiraceae bacterium
Lineage: Bacteria; Bacillati; Bacillota; Clostridia; Lachnospirales; Lachnospiraceae
Description: tRNA-Leu
Rfam family: tRNA
About the family: Transfer RNA (tRNA) molecules are approximately 80 nucleotides in length. Their secondary structure includes four short double-helical elements and three loops (D, anti-codon, and T loops).
Source: RNAcentral